AUAUUAUUAAAUUAAUAGACUAAAUAAAUUAUCAUUAAACUAUAACCUUUAUAUUAUGUGAUUUGGCCUAAUCUCUAAUUAUGAUUAUGGUCUAAUCUCUUGGAAUUUUACUUGGUAACAAACAUAUUGAAGUUUUUAGUUAAGGUCUUUCCAGCAGAUUUUGUCAAAACGUUAAUCGUAUCAUGGCAAGGUACAAUGCAUGCUUUUUAUUCUUUUCACUUUAUGAUUAUGCUAUUAAUUCAUGUGUAGCUCCACCUUAAUUUUUGUGUUAGUUUUAAAGUUGCAAUUUAACUUAUUAUAUUUGUACUAUAAAUUCUUUGUUUUCCUUUAUUUUUUUUACUUCAAUGAGUUUCUAGUAAAAUGCUUAGAGAAUUACUUCUAAGACAUAGAACUAUUUCCUAACCUAACUACAAGGCUAUGAAAGUCCUUUUCGUUGCCCAUUCCCGUUAGAUUUUAUAAUACCCUUCCUCCUCUAUUUUUGUUAUCUUCACUUCGCGACCGUUGAUAGAUUUUUCUCCUAAAAAAUUUAAUAAUUAUUGACUAGGUUUUGUAAUAUGUCAAAGGAUUGGAUGGAUCUACCAAGGUAUAGCAAAAAGUAUAUCAAUGGUGUUAAUAGUUUCUUAGACUUUGCAUACUCUGAGGGAGAACCGGAUGGACAACAAAUCCAAUGGCCUUGUAAGAGGUGUUGCAACAUUGAGUGGUAUAGAAGAGAUGUUGUAUUUGACCAUUUAGUAGCCGAUGGAUUUGUUAAGGGGUACAGAACAUGGAUUAAUCAUGGGAAAUGGACAAUCCCGAUGGUGGUUGGUAAUGAUACAGAUGACGAAGAAGGUGCACGCGAUGACAUUGAAGGACUGCUUAAUGAUGCAUUCGGAGAUGUGCCUCACGCUAAGGGUGUUAUUAUAGGUCAAAAUGAAGAGGCUAAAAGGUUUUACAAUUUAAUAGAGGGGGCAAGUCAAGAGUUGUACCCGGGUUGCAAGAAAUUUUCUACAUUAUCUUUUAUCAUCCGUCUAUACUUGUUAAAGUGUUUUCACGGGUGGAGGAAUGCCUCCUUCACUUCCCUUCUUGAGCUAUUGAAAGAUGCAAUGCCUGACAUUAACAUACCUUCAUCUUUCAAUAAGACGAAGGCUAUAAUAAGAGAUUUAGGUCUCGAUUAUAAAAAAAUUGAUGCUUGUCCUAAUGAUUGCCUCCUAUAUAAGAAAGAACUAAAGGAUGAAAAAUAAUGUCGUGUCUGUGGAACUUUUCGAUAUACUGAAAAUACUAGUGAUAAUAGCGAGAACAACCUCACAAGAAAGGUUGUCCUAUUCCUGCAAAGACUUUGAGAUACUUUCUUAUAAUUCCAAGACUUUAAAGAUUAUUUAUGUGCUUAAAGAUGGCAGCUAGUCUGAGGUGGCGCGAUGAGGAGUGCGUUAAAGAUGGGAUGUUAAAGCAUCCUGCUAAUGGCCUGGCAUGGAAGAACUUUGAUGAAAUUUAUGAAGACUUUGCAAAAGAAUCAUGCAAUAUUAGACUAGGCUUGUCAAGUGAUAGGUUCAACCCAUUUCGUAGCAUGAACAUUGCAUGGACCCGUGAUGUUGAUGGUAUACAACUUGCCUCCAUGGAUGUGCAUAAAACUCGAAUAUUGCAUGCUUUCUUUACUUAUUCCUGGGCCACAAUCACCUGGUGAAGAUAUUGAUGUGUAUCUACAACCGUUGAUAUAAUACUUGAGUUAUUGUGGAAAAUAGGGGUCAAAACUUAUGAUGCGUCAAAGAAUGAAACCUUUCAAAUGCGGACAGCUCUUUUGUGGACAAUCAAUGAUUUUUCUGCAUAUGCUAUGUUGUCUGGGUGGAGUACAAAAGAAAAAUUGGCUUGAACUUGUUGUAACAAAAAUAUCUCUUAUCUACAACUAAAAUAUAGUCAGAAGACAGUUUAUAUGGAUCAUCGUGUCUUUUUACUUAUGGAUCAUCCAUGGAGAACCAAUACAAGGUCUUUUAAUGGGAAGCACGAAUUAAGACCCCCUCCACCUGUUAUAGAAGGAACGAAAAUUUUUGAGAUGCUACAAAAUAUUAAGAAUAUUUUUGGGAAGAAGCAAAGUACAUCAAAUAGUUUCCCAUAGAAUUGGAAAAAAAGAUCAAUUUUCUUUGAAUUGCCUUACUGGCAUAAGAACCCGCUGCGUCACAACUUAGAUUUCAUGCACAUAGAGAAGAACAUACUUGACAGUGUAAUUGAAACUCUCUUGGAUAUCCCAGGCAAGACAAAGGACCAUUUGAAUGCUCGAUAUGACUUAAAAGAUUUGGAGAUUUGGAAAAAUCUUCAACCAAAGGAGUUGAAUAAUGGCAAGAGAACAAAGUUGGCAAAGGCAUGCUUUUCUAUGAUUGCUGCAGAGAAGUCAAUUUUUGUGAUAUUUUGAAGACAACAAAACUACCUGAUAGUAGUACUUUGAAUAUAUCAUGUUGUGUACAUCUAGGAGAAAGAAAAGUUUCUGAGUAUAAGUCCCACGAUGCUCGCUUUAUGCUACACUAUUUACUACCAAUACCGAUUAAAAGCAUCCUUCCUGAUCAUGUGGCCAUUCCGUUGAUUCGACUAAUUUCCUUUUUUCGUCGCUUAUGCAAAAAAUUCAUCACACUGGAAGAGAUAGAUCGACUGGAGUUAAGGAUUGUGGAAACAUUAUGCCACCUUGAGAGGAUCUUUCCCCCUAGUUUUUUUUGACAUAAUGGUUCAUCUUCCCAAUCAUUAGCAAAUGAGGUGAGAUUGGGUGGUCCGGUGUAGUUUCAUUGGAUGUAUCCUCCAGAAAGGUACAUGUGUACAUUAAAGUCAUAUGUACGCAACAAAAGUUGCCCCAAAGGUUCUAUUGCAGAGGCAUAGCUGGCUGAAGAGUGCUUAACUUUCUGCUUAAGAUAAUUGCAUGGAGGUGUGUGAACAAGACUUAAUAAGCGACCUCAAAAUGAUGAUGAUCCUAACGAAGACGAAAUUGUAACAUCAAAGUUAUUUUCUAACAAAGGUCGUUCAUUUGGAAUGGAAAAUGGAGAACCAAUUAAUCUCGUGACAUAUCAAGUGCUCAAGUCCAUGUGUAUGUAUUACACAAUUGUGAAGAAGUUGUAGAUUAUGUUAGGUAACUUAACACAACUUAUGUUUAUUCACUAAAUCAAGUGCAUUUAUAUUUUUUUCAAUCAAACAUAACUAUUAUUAACUAUAGAGAGCAUGAGGAUGAGGUUAACAAUCAGCGGGAAAUAAAAUGGAGAAAAGCAAAAGUUCACAGUAAAACCUUCUCGCAAUGGUUUGAAACUCAUGCGAGGGAUCCAAAUGUGCCUAUUUGGCUAAAAGAAUUAUCUCGAGGUUCAAGCUCUGUUGCAAGAAGAUUUUCUGGAUAUAUAAUUAAUGGAUACAGAUUUUCCACUGUGGAGCGUAAGGCAAGGAGAAAAACACAAAAUAGUGGUAUCACAUUAACUGCUUUAACUUCAAGCUUUGCAAGUGCUAAAGAUAAAAGUCCAAUAAUUCAAGACACUGUAGCCUAUUAUGGUAGGUUGUUUGAGAUAGAAGAGUUAGACUAUUUUGGGCAUUUUAAAGUUGUAUUAUUUCGGUAUGAGUGGUAUGAUGCUGUGAGAGAUAAGUAUGGUCUUACAUUUGUUCACUUCAAUAAUUAAUGCUACCAGAAUGAACCUUUCAUACUAGCAUCUCAAGUUAUGUGCAGGAUCCAUAUGAACAUAACAGAUGUUAUGUUAUGAAAAUUGUCCUAAGAGACUUAUUUAAAACAAGUGACGAAUCUGAGUCUGAGGCCCGUAAACCUUCUAUAGUGAACAACACGAGCAUAUAACGAGCCUUGCUAUACCAGCUGAUGAUGGUGAACUUACUUUGGAGAGGAAUGAUCUACGACCUACGGUUAUUAAAACGGUUCCCCAAGUGCUUUCGCCCAAGAAUAUGAGGCAAAUUUCAUUGGAGAUUCUAAUUCUGAUGGGUCAUCCUAAGCAAUUUAUUGCUUAACAUAUGUAUACCUAAGUUUUCUUCUUCACCUUUUUAUUUGUAAGUCAUAUUUUUGUUUUAAUUUCUCAUUUCGUUAGUUUUUUCUUAUAUGAUAUGUCACUUUAUGGCUUAUAUUAACUCGAGUUAACUAAUUUAUUUGUGUAAGAAUAAAGAAUUUAUUGAUCUUAAAGCAACAUCAAGUAAGAAUUUGCUUCGACAAUUUGAAGCCAAGGGACAAAAGAUUGUAAAUAAAUGCUAGCAAUAUGAGAUACAAGGUGCAGCACCUAAUGACAAGGAGGACACUAUGCCAAGGUUGGAUGUAGUCAAAGGUAAAAAAGAGUUGAGUGCAACCAAAGGAGUGAAGAAAUCUACCUCAAAGAAGCUGGAUUUUACUCAUUUACAAAGCACACUCGAUACAAUCAGCAAAAGGACAAAUUUCACGCCUAAAACCUUGGAAGUACAGCCGAGCAUUCCUGUGGAAUAGCCAGAAAAUAAAAAAAGAAAGAAUCCCUUGACUGUGACUAUGGCUGAGAAAAAGAAGCAUGGAGUGCAAGGUGAACCGUCAACACAAGGCUUGAAAAAUUCUAAGCUUACAAAGAUGGAUGCAGAUGAACUUAAAAGGAAGCUCGACGCAAUUCGUAAUAUGAAUAAUAGUGUGCCAACAAGUGUAAGCUAAGAGCGGAGUUGUGCAAAUUCUACUCAGCCCAAAAUCAACCAAGGGCAGCAGCAGAUCAUUCGAGUCACACAUGAUAUGACUCAAAAAAGGCAACGUGACACUACUUUGCCUAGUUCAAACACUACCCCACAAGCUGAAGAUUUAAUGUCAGAGCAAGAUGAAUCAAGAAAGGAAAAGAGCAAGCCAAGGUAAGAUUAAGCGAUUCGGGAUGCUUAGAAGCAGUUCAAGGGAAAGAUUAAGCAAAAGCACUUUGUUCCCUUUGAUACUAUCGAAGAUAUGGUGAAAAAUCGACUAACACAAGUACCAGAAAGUCAAUUCAUAAAAUUGAUCUAUUAUUGGAGUCAUCCUACAAUUCAGUCAAUAAGUGAAAAGAAUAAGAAACAUAAAGAACAACAAAAGUUUCAACAUCGCAAUCAAUUUCGGAAGAGUACGAGUGGCUCUGCGCGCAACAAAGGGAACAAAUGAGAAACCAAAAAGGUUUGAAAUGUUCAUUGCUACUCGAACAAGUCAGAAAAGGAAGGAAGUUGAUUAGGAAACACAAGAUGCAAUUGAAGACUUCCAAAAUCGGCAAGCUGCUGGUGAAACAGAUGAGUAAGCUUUUGAGUCUUUAUUUGAAAAAGAACAACCAGGUCGGGUUAGGUGCUAUGGAAGAUCUGUUACACGACGUGACUUAAAAUAGCAUGCAGAAAUUUCUAAAAUCAAGCAGCAGCACCAAGAGGAAGCCACAUCUUUGAAGGUUGAACUUGGAGACAUGAAGCCCAAACAGCAGCACCAAGAGGAUGAGCUUCAUGGAUUGCAAAACAUGAUUAAGUUACUAGUUCAGCCAUCUGAACCUGAAACGAGGGCAGAAGAAAUUGAAGCUUUGUUACAAAAUGCCCAACACUCUCUAAUUGAUGUGAAUAGCGCUCAUGAAUCAACUCAUAUUCCGAACAUAGAUAUGGAUAAUUCUGGAGAUGUGAAGAAAGAUUGAGAUGUUUAUCAUGAUGGUUUAUUAGUAAAGAUGGAGUGUUGAAAAUUGAAAGAUGUAUGGUUGAUGAUGAUGUCUUUUAUUAGAAGAUACAUUUGUAUGAUAUAAUAUUUUGGUUUUUUCUAGUUUAUUAGUAGUAAACUCUAAGUGGUCUCAUGCAUAUUUUGAUAUGAGUAUGCUUAUUUUAGUGUGAGAUAUAUGAAUACUCAAAAUUAUGAUCAUCCCAAUAUUUUUGGUUCAUUAUAUAAAUAUAUUUUGUUUCAGGA
Non-coding RNA from Arachis ipaensis, 5842 nucleotides. Lineage: Eukaryota; Viridiplantae; Streptophyta; Magnoliopsida; Fabales; Fabaceae. The record is from RefSeq and is a predicted model, not a curated record.